This 496-nucleotide ribosomal RNA is filed under the name Mordellista brevicauda. Its description in RNAcentral is "partial 16S ribosomal RNA". It matches the Rfam family "Bacterial large subunit ribosomal RNA", at positions 1844 to 2600 of the family's 2925-position model. The record is from RNAcentral. Lineage: Eukaryota; Metazoa; Arthropoda; Insecta; Coleoptera; Mordellidae.
UUUAAAGUCUGGCCUGCCCAAUGAGUUUUUAAUGGCCGCAGUAUCCUAACUGUGCAAAGGUAGCAUAAUCAUUAGUUUUUUAAUUGAGAACUUGUAUGAAUGGUUAAAUGAAAAAAAAUCUGUCUCUUUAUUAAUUAAUUAGAAUUUUAUUUUUAAGUGAGAAAGCUUAAAUUAAUUAGAAAGACGAGAAGACCCUAUAGAGUUUUAUAUUUUUGUGAAAAAAUCUUUUUUAGUAAUUAUUUAUAUUAUUUUUAUAAAAAUAUUUUGUUGGGGUGAUAUAAAAAUUUAAUUAACUUUUUAUUUAUUUAAACAUUGAUUAAUGAAUAUUUGAACCUUUAUUUUGGAUUAUAAGAAUUAAAUUACCUUAGGGAUAACAGCGUAAUCUUUUUUUAAAGUUCUUAUUAAAAAGAAGGUUUGCGACCUCGAUGUUGAAUUAAAAUUUAAUUUUGGUGCAGAAGCUAAAAAUUUGAGUCUGUUCGACUCGUUGAAUUUUACA